This 253-nucleotide ribosomal RNA is filed under the name uncultured bacterium. RNAcentral's name for it is "partial 16S ribosomal RNA". It matches the Rfam family "Bacterial small subunit ribosomal RNA", at positions 524 to 776 of the family's 1533-position model. The record is from RNAcentral.
UACGGAGGGUGCGAGCGUUGUUCGGAAUCACUGGGCGUAAAGGGCGUGUAGGCGGUCCGCUAAGUCUGAUGUGAAAGCCCGGGGCUCACCCCCGGAAGGGCAUUGGAAACUGGCGGACUCGAGUCCCGGAGAGGAAGGUGGAAUUCCUGGUGUAGCGGUGAAAUGCGUAGAUAUCAGGAGGAAUACCGGUGGCGAAGGCGGCCUUCUGGACGGUGACUGACGCUGAGGCGCGAAAGCUAGGGGAGCAAACGGG